Molecule: long non-coding RNA, 3554 nt
Filed under: Homo sapiens (human)
Lineage: Eukaryota; Metazoa; Chordata; Mammalia; Primates; Hominidae
Description: HSALNT0056879
Source: RNAcentral
CUCCAUUCUGGAGAAUAUCAGGAAAUAUGAGAAAAAGACAAGCAAAAGCAAAUAAUCAACAGAAGAACAUAAAAUUCUUUGGUCUUGUCAUUUCUGUUGCAAUUCCUGUGUUGAAUUAAAAUAUUAAGGUGCUCUCAUGAGAAGACAGUAUGAUUCAAUGCGAUUAUGUUUUACUAAAAUAUAAACUUUUUUGUUUUGUUUUGUUUUCGAGGAGGAGUCUCACUCUUUCGCCCAGGCUAGAGUGCAGUGCAGCGACCUCGGCUCACUGAAGCCUACCCCUCCGGGUUUAAGUGAUUCUCCUGCUUUAAAAAUCAUCAUAUGGGAAUCAAACAAACAGAAGAAUAAGAGGAAUAACAUAUACCCUUUCUUAAAAAAACAUGGGAUAUUAAACGAUAUGAGUGAUGCCCUGCCAAGAGAGGAGGAAUCUAGAGAGGCAGUCUGACUACAGUGGCUUUGUGGUGCUGCAGUGCACUCUGCCUAGUCCUAACUUCCCAGUGGUGUUGUUUACACUGUGAGGGGAAAACCACCUACUCAAGCCUCAGUAACGGCGGAUGCCCCUACCCCCACCAAGCUUGAGUGUUCCAGGCCGACUUCCCACUGCUGUGCUGGCAGCAAGAAUUUCAAGCCAGUGGAUUUUAGCUUUUUUGGGCUCCAUGGCGGUAGGAUCUGCUGAGCAAGACCACUUGGAUCCCUGGCUUCAGCCUCUUUUCCAGGAUGUACCAUGAAGUAUAUUUGGGAAGACUUCAGGAAGAUUCCAGUCAUGGCUGAAGGCAAAGCAGGAGCAGGCGUCUCACAUGGCAGGAGCCUGAGCAAGAGAGAGUGAGAGGGUGGUGCUACACACUUUUAAAGAACCAAAUCUCACAAGAACUCAGGAUUAUGAGAAGAGCACCAAGAAGAUGGUGCUAAACCAUUCAUGAGAAACCCACCCCCAUGAUUUAAUUAUCUCCCCCCAAGCCCCACCUUCAAUAUUAGGAACAACAAUCUGAUAUACAGCUUGGGCAGGGACACAGAUCCAAACCAUAUCAGUAUGUUAGAAAAACUUAAGAAAUAAUAAGAAACCAGCAAUAUUUAGGGAGUAUCAAAUCUAAUAUGUUCUCUGUUUACAUUAGCAACUUUGAAAAGUAAAGAGAAAGAGUGACAUGGUGAGAAUGGUAAAGUAAGAAAGGCUAAAAAAUAAAUCUGUCCUUCCAUAGAAGCAACAACAAUAUCUGUCAAAAUUCUCAGAAUCAACUAUUUCAGAAUACUGGACAUUAACACAAAAACUGCAGCAAUUAGGUCAAUGCUUAUUCAAGGAGAAACCAGUUAUCUCUAAGUAAGAAGAGUGAGCUUUUGGCAUUUCAAUCUACUUUGGUCUAUCUUCCAUAUUGCAAGUCAGUGAAUGGUCUUGAAGAAAACAGCCGCCAUUUCCAGUACAGAAAUGAAAAGCUGAUUCUAAAAUUCAUAGAGAAUUGCAAGGAACACAGAAGAAUGAAGAGUAUCUUUAAAAAGGACAAAACUGGAGGUCUCACACUUCUCAAUGCCUGAAUUUACUAGUAAACUACACUAAUCAAACAGUGUGGUAUUAUCAUAAACAUAGACAGACAUGGAUCAAUGAAAUAGAACUCAGAGUCCAAAAAUAAAACAACAUAUUUAUGGUCAAUUGAUUUUCAAGAGAAUUGGUAAAAACUCUUAAUGAGAAAAAAAUAUUUUCAAUAAAUGGUACUGAGACAACUAAAUAUUCACAAGUAAAAGAAUAAAUUUGGACCUCUACAUUAUGUCAUAUAUAAAAAUUAAAUCAAAAUGGAUCGAAGACUUAAAUGUAAGAGCUGAAAAUAUAAAAUUCAUAGAAGGAAAUAUAUGUGUAAAUCUUCAACACUUUACGUUAGCCAGUGGUUGUUGAAACAUAGCACAAAAGACACAAUCAACCAAGAAAAAAAUAAACUGUACUUCAUCAAAAUUAAAAACAAUUUUUCCAUCAUUGGACACUACAAAGCAAUGGAAAAGAUAACUCAUGGAAUUAAAAAAUAUAUUUCCGUAUUAUAUAUCUGAUAAAAGUCUAGUAUCCAGAAUAUGUAAAGAAUUCUCACAAAUAACAACUAAAAGAUAAACAGCUAAUUUCAAAAAUGCGGCUGGGCACAGUGGGUUACAACUGUAAUCCCAGAGCUUUGUGAGGUUGAGGUGGGAGGAUUGCUUGAGGCUAGGAGUUUGAGACCAAUCUGGGCAACAUAGCAAGACCCUGUCUCUACAAAAAUACCUUUAAAAAAAAUUAGCCAGGUGUGGUGGUGGGUGCCUGCAGCCAUAGCUGCUCAGAAGGCUGAGGUGGGAAGACUGCUUAAAUGCAGGAGUUCAAGGUUGCACUGAACUAUAAUAUGCCACUGCACUCCAGCCUGGCCGACAGGGCAAGACUCUAUCUCAAAUAAUAAUUUAAAAAAAUGAGCAAAGAACAUAGACAUUUUUCCAUAAAUAUAUAAAGUCAAUAAGCAUCUGAAACAAUGGUUAAUAUCAUUAGGUCAUUAAGAAUUCAAACAAAGAACUACUCUAAACCCACUAGGAUAGCAAGAUGAAGAAGAUAAUAAAAGAAGGAAGAGGAGGAGAGGGGGAAAAAGAGGAAGAGAAGGAUGGAGAAGGCAAAGGGAGGAGAAAAAGGUGGAGGAGGAGAAAGGGAGGAAGAAGAUAAUAAGAAGUGCUGGCAAGGAUGUGGAGAAACUGGAAUGUUUAUACAUUACUGAUGGGAAUAUAAAAUGGUGCACUUGCUGUGGAAAACAGUAUGGCUAUUUCUCAAAAAGCUAAAAGUAGGGUUAUAUCAGAUAACUCAGAAAUGUCACUCCUAGGUGUAUGCCCAAGAGAAUUAAACACAUAUGUUUACAUAAAAACUUGUAUACAAAUGUUGAUAGGAGUAUUAUUAAUAAUAGUCCCAAAUUAGGCACAAUCAAAGUGUCCAUCAAAUGAUGAGUGGAUAAACAACUGUGGUAAAUGCAUACAGCAGAAUAUUAUUUAACCAAAACAGAAAAAGUAAUGAUACAUGCUACAGUGUGGAUGAACUUAAAACCAUGCUAAGUUAAAAAGCCAGUCAAUAAAGUCCACAUGUUAUAUGAUCCAUUUACAUAAAAUAUCCAGAAUAGUCAAAUUUAUACAUGCAGAAACUAGAUUAAUAAUAACAGGGGCUUGGAGUAGAAGGAAUAGUGUGUGGCUGUUUAUUAGGUGUAGCUUAUUUUUUUGGGGUGAUAAUAUUCUGGAAGAUAGUAGUAAUUAUUGCACAACAUUCUGCAUAUACUACAAACUGUCAAAUUUCACAAUUUAACAUGGUUAAAAUGCUAAAUCUUAUGUAAAUUUUACCCUCCUUUAUUUUUUAAUAAAAUGAAUUGUAUUAAUUUAUUUACUGUUCUUACCAUAUCAGAGUAUUGACUAUACCCAGUUGUACAUUCCUUUUUUUUAGAUGUAUACUUAGCAUGUACACAUAAGUGUGUGAGGGUAGGAACUAUCUCAAUGGUUUUUAGAGUUAGAUUAUUCAUUUGUAACAAUAUAUCUGAUGUAUCAUGGGAUCUUAAUAAAUGUUUGUUGAGUGAAAAAUAAAU